RNAcentral lists this ribosomal RNA (460 nucleotides) under uncultured bacterium. RNAcentral describes it as "partial 16S ribosomal RNA". It matches the Rfam family "Bacterial small subunit ribosomal RNA", at positions 338 to 795 of the family's 1533-position model. The record is from RNAcentral.
CCUACGGGUGGCAGCAGUGAGGAAUAUUGGUCAAUGGACGAGAGUCUGAACCAGCCAAGUAGCGUGAAGGAUGACUGCCCUAUGGGUUGUAAACUUCUUUUAUAUGGGAAUAAAACGUUCCACGUGUGGGAUUUUGUAUGUACCAUAUGAAUAAGGAUCGGCUAACUCCGUGCCAGCAGCCGCGGUAAUACGGAGGAUCCGAGCGUUAUCCGGAUUUAUUGGGUUUAAAGGGAGCGUAGGUGGAUUGUUAAGUCAGUUGUGAAAGUUUGCGGCUCAACCGUAAAAUUGCAGUUGAAACUGGCAGUCUUGAGUACAGUAGAGGUGGGCGGAAUUCGUGGUGUAGCGGUGAAAUGCUUAGAUAUCGCGAAGAACUCCGAUUGCGAAGGCAGUUCACUGGACUGCAAUUGACACUGAGGCUCGAAAGUGUGGGUAUCAAACAGGAUUAGAUACCCCUGUAGUC